UGCGUAGGUGGCGCGUUAAGUCCGUUGUGAAAUCCCUGGGCUCAACCCAGGAACUGCUUCGGAUACUGGCGCGCUUGAGGCCGGUAGGGGUCACUGGAACUGACGGUGGAGCGGUGAAAUGCGUAGAUAUCGUCAGGAACGCCGAUGGUGAAGACAGGUGACUGGGCCGGAACUGACACUGAGGCACGAAAGCGUGGGGAGCGAACGGGAUUAGAUACCCCGGUAGUCCACGCCCUAAACGAUGCAGACUAGACUGCAGCGGGUUACACCCCGUUGCGGUCGGAGCGAAAUUGUUAAGUCUGCCACCUGGGAAGUACGGUCGCAAGGCUAAA
RNAcentral lists this ribosomal RNA (332 nucleotides) under uncultured bacterium. RNAcentral describes it as "bacterial SSU rRNA". It matches the Rfam family "Bacterial small subunit ribosomal RNA", at positions 568 to 898 of the family's 1533-position model. The record is from RNAcentral. RNAcentral also lists the same sequence under 1 other name.